This 30-nucleotide non-coding RNA is filed under the name Cricetulus griseus (Chinese hamster). Lineage: Eukaryota; Metazoa; Chordata; Mammalia; Rodentia; Cricetidae. The record is from RNAcentral.
AACAUGAAACAGCCAAGAUCGUUACUAAGA